Molecule: non-coding RNA, 1462 nt
Organism: Anas platyrhynchos (mallard)
Lineage: Eukaryota; Metazoa; Chordata; Aves; Anseriformes; Anatidae
Source: RefSeq, a predicted model, not a curated record
UUAAUUGCUUCCUAUGCUUUUCGCAGCUGUCAGCCCCUAAUGGGGUCGGGGUCGGCAGGGGAGGGGCACUCGAAGGCUUUGUGUCCUUUCACCACCUGAAGCACUCCUGGCUGCAGAGUAAGAUUGUCCCACAUUUGCCAGACCUCCAGGUCCCCAAAAUGUGGCCUGUGCCUGCUCACCUUGUCCUGGUGCAGGAGAAAACUCUUUAUCAAUCUGCUAAAAAAGGUACAGGAACCUUUUCAACACUUAGAAACUAGACAAGAGCUGAAGAAAACACACAUAAUCACAAUAAGAGAGACUGAAUAUGCCAGCUUCUUAAAAACUGCAAACCAGACCAAGAGAAGUAAUAUGGUAAUUAAAGCAAUGACUGCAAGAUGACAACUCAUACAACUGGAGCUAGGUGUGGAAAAGGGCCACAUGGGUCCCUCCGGUCCCUCCAAGGACUGUUGAAGACAGAAUGGGACAAGAAGAGAGGCGAUGGUCUCCUUGCUUCCCCUUGAGACCCAGUCCCACACGUUCAGGUGGUCCUGCAGUGGCAGUUGGUGGCAGCAGGAGAUGAAGCCUGGGGAGCAAGGCGUGAAGCCAGCCCUUUGACAGCAGCAGGCAGGAGCAGUUGUCUCCUCUCUCAAAGUCUAGUUUUUCAAGCACCAACUUUUGUAAUGUAGCAGUUUUGACCUGAAAAACACAUGAUCUCUUUUGUUGUGGUUUUGUGUGUGUGUUUUGUGUUUUUUUCUUUUUUCUCUCUCUCUUUUUUUUUUUUUUUCCUCUUCUGGAAUUACAAAUGUGGGACAUGAAUUGCAAUAAGUGACCAGGCAAGCAGAGGAGGGGCUUAGCCAUACCUCACCUGGAAUCCACUCCAAUGCCCACUGAUGAGAGUAAUCUCAAUGGGCAGGCUCUUGACAGGACAUAAUUGCACUCCCAGCAGAGCUGGGCAGUCACAGAGCAUCUCCACUUGAGGCCAUUUACUAGCUAUUGUGAGAGUAUUUACUUAUUUUGAAUGUUUAUAAACUCUUGUUGGAACACAAGUCCUAUAUGGAUUCAUCUAAAUCCUGAUCUUUUUGAUCUGCAAAACCUUCAGUAAUUGAAAAAAAUCCAUUUCAUCUCUUGCUUCAGAACAUCAUGUAUAGUUUAUAACCUAGGAACCCAUGGCUCAGAUUUAAUGGUAAUCAUAUAACAUCUGUUUAAUUUUAAAAUUUAUAUGGAGGCUUUUUUGGAAAUCCCUUGGAGUUUUUUGACUUUCUGUCUUCUCUAUGCACACAGAGGAUGUAGAAAAUUAAUUUCCUGUGUAAAAAUACAAGAUGACAGAAGGUCCAAGGUUAAACCUAUUUACAAAGAAAAUCACUGCCAGUGUUUAGAAAAUUCUGCUUUUAUUUGAAAUAUUUGGAGGUGUACCUGGCUUCCCAUGUCCUCAUGGUAUUUAAGCAUAUAAGGCUUUCUGUCCAAUAAACCAUAGUGAAAAACC